AUGAUGAGGUUGCCAUUUUACUAUUGGAAGACGAGUCUGAACCCUGAUGCAUCGCUGUUAUACGGCACUGAUC
Molecule: small nucleolar RNA, 73 nt
Filed under: Trypanosoma cruzi
Lineage: Eukaryota; Euglenozoa; Kinetoplastea; Trypanosomatida; Trypanosomatidae
Description: C/D small nucleolar RNA (snoRNA), TB10C1C4
Source: RNAcentral